This 253-nucleotide ribosomal RNA is filed under the name uncultured bacterium. RNAcentral describes it as "partial 16S ribosomal RNA". It matches the Rfam family "Bacterial small subunit ribosomal RNA", at positions 524 to 776 of the family's 1533-position model. The record is from RNAcentral.
UACAGAGGUCCCAAGCGUUGUUCGGAUUCACUGGGCGUAAAGGGUGCGUAGGCGGUCGGGUAAGUCUGAUGUGAAAUCUCCAAGCUUAACUUGGAAAUGGCAUCGGAUACUAUUCGGCUCGAGGAAUGGAGGGGAGACUGGAAUACUUGGUGUAGCAGUGAAAUGCGUAGAUAUCGGGAGGAACACCAGCGGCGAAGGCGGGUACCUGGGCCAACACUGACGCUGAGGCGCGAAAGCUAGGGGAGCAAACAGG